RNAcentral lists this ribosomal RNA (395 nucleotides) under uncultured bacterium. RNAcentral's name for it is "bacterial SSU rRNA". It matches the Rfam family "Bacterial small subunit ribosomal RNA", at positions 957 to 1353 of the family's 1533-position model. The record is from RNAcentral.
UAACGCGAAGAACCUUACCAGGUCUUGACAUACUAUGCAAAUCUAAGAGAUUAGACGUUCCCUUCGGGGACAUGGAUACAGGUGGUGCAUGGUUGUCGUCAGCUCGUGUCGUGAGAUGUUGGGUUAAGUCCCGCAACGAGCGCAACCCUUAUUAUCAGUUGCCAGCAUUAAGUUGGGCACUCUGGUGAGACUGCCGGUGACAAACCGGAGGAAGGUGGGGAUGACGUCAAAUCAUCAUGCCCCUUAUGACCUGGGCUACACACGUGCUACAAUGGAUGGUACAACGAGUUGCGAACUCGCGAGAGUAAGCUAAUCUCUUAAAACCAUUCUCAGUUCGGAUUGUAGGCUGCAACUCGCCUACAUGAAGUCGGAAUCGCUAGUAAUCGCGGAUCAGC